UGUCAGGACUGAGGUUGUGCUU
Molecule: microRNA, 22 nt
Filed under: Oikopleura dioica
Lineage: Eukaryota; Metazoa; Chordata; Appendicularia; Copelata; Oikopleuridae
Description: odi-miR-1474
Source: miRBase by way of RNAcentral